Orcinus orca (killer whale) is the source of this 5524-nucleotide long non-coding RNA. RefSeq lists it as uncharacterized. Lineage: Eukaryota; Metazoa; Chordata; Mammalia; Artiodactyla; Delphinidae. The record is from RefSeq and is a predicted model, not a curated record. The transcript has 2 exons.
GUGGAUACGAAAUGGUGGUUGUACUCAUCUCAGGAUGCACAACAGGCUGGUGGUUUUUACAAAGAUUUUGAGAGUUGUUCCCUUUUCCAACUACAUAUGUGAGGUAGUUUUGCCAUUAUCUGCAAUAUCUGUUGCAGCCUUAAAGAUCAACUUUUCAACCUUGGUCCAGUUAGGAAGGCGGUAUGGAAUAUGGUUUUCGUCUAGAGCACACGGACCUGGAAAUCCUCUUUUUCUGUCCACCAUGGUAGAUGAAUGGUCCCAUCAGGGAACUUUCAGCAGUGCCUCCCCCGAGCCAGACUGGGCUGAUCCUGCCAGUUCAGCCCCCGGAUGCCUCUUGGGCGACAGCAUUUACGACCUGGUUGUACCCUGGGUGCCCCUCCCCCUCUAUCUUUAGGAAAUUUGGUUCUAUAAGGUCAUUAUUAUUUGCCGUUAAAGAAUGGCUAGGAUUGAAUUUGAUAAAGUUCCCAAGAUCAGCAUUAUUGUAAAUAAAACUGUGAGACUUCAACUAGAGAAAAGCAAAACUUACAAUUAGGACAUCCUUUUACACAUUACACGUUUAGUGGUGUGUUUUAUCUUUAUUUCUUUUAAAGAUCCAAUCAGAGGAUCUGCUGGAAGCAAAUCAAAGCAUUUCCACUUCAGAAUGACACCAAUCAGGGGUUGCCCUAAGUCAGAAAGGAGUUAAGCUCUGAGUCACAGGGUGCAUCCGUGUCCCCAUUCUUUCCUCAAAUGCGAACUCCCUGGGCUGAUGAGCCUGGAGGCCUGUGGCUUGUCCAAGGUCUCGGGGCAGGAUCCCGGUGCCAGGUGUAUGUGGCCUCUUGCUCUGGUGUCUUGGGACAGAUCUAUUCAAAGGGACACAGCGUCGGAAAGUGAGCCUUGAGACUCAGGCUUUUGGAAGGGUUGUCUGUUCUGUUUAGCUUCUCAUACAGCCUGUCUGAAAGAGCUCCUAGCUCACGCAUGCCACGGGAACAAGCUGAUGGCGGGCCCAGGUUCCGCAUCAGCGGCGUUAGUGAGCGUCUGGUCCUCUUGGGGCCCAGCUAGACCACCAGCAAUGCCCCUGGCGAAGCCACAGAGGACCUCAGCUUGAAAGCCACUUGACACUGUUCACUUGUUAAUAGGAAGAAAUUCAUUUGAAAUAACAGAGUCACUAAUUGCUACUCAGAGUAUUUGUGGUCCCCUAAUCAAAGAUUUCUCCAAGCACUGAUAGUCAAAUAUAGACGAAUUAUUCACCAGUUCAAUAUAUGGUCGUUUUUCGAACAGUAGCUAUUUAAAGAGCACACUCUGGCUUGCUAGGUUUCAGUAGACGUCAGCAUGAGGUCCAGUGGAAGCAGGUUCCGGAAGCUUCAGACCACAGGCGUGGAGCUGGCAGCCCGGGAUGCUGGAUGCGGGACCUGGCAGGACCCCCUUUCACCACCUUGACCCACUCUUCAAGCCACUGUUUAAACCUGGUUCUUCCUUUCCUCGACUUGUCAUCACAGGAAGUGCCAGACUCCUCAGAGACCACAGAUUACCAGGCAGCCUUUGUCUGGGAAGCGGGGACCAUGGGGCUCCUCCAGGACACCCUGCUGCCGUCCUGCCAACACGCCUCCUCUCUGCCUCCUGGGCAUUUCCAGUUGGGGGUCCCACGCCCCGCCUUCUGCCCCUGCCACCCUGUGAGAAGCCUGAGGGCUGCACAUGCAGGACGUCACUGCCCUGACGUCCAGCAUUGUCAGAAACAGGGCGCCCCGGCCGUCAGAGGGGCAUUUUGACUACUGUCAGAGCACCAGGGCCCUUCCUGCUGCCCGCCCGGCCUCCGGUUUCCCUGUGACCUUUCUACAGCUCUCCGCUGAGAGGCGUUUCAAGCAUCUUCCCAAAGACGAUAUAUGCACAGGGGUAAACAGUGAAUGUGCAUUGAGGGGAAAGAAUUUCAGAAUUCCAGAAUGUCCGUGAGAGCUGUUCCUGUUAAAGGGAGUCCUUCCUUCUACUUUAAGAGCACAGAACGCACCUUUCCACGGUACUGAUGCGUUUCCUACACUGGGCCACAUGAAACUCUAAGGAAACAGACAACCUUGAGGACAGUGGACGUUCCAGCAAAGGGCAGCAGCCUAAGAUCUGAGCAGAAGCUCAAGGCCCACGGAGUCCGGCGCUCCCAGCUAAGACCAACUUGAUCACCGGCAUGGCCUUUUAUGGGGGCUUCCAGGGACCGGGGGAAAACCAGCCACCUUCAAGUGCCUCUUCCACCCGUGUGGCCUUUCAAAGCGCAGAUCCCACGAGGAAGACUGUGCCAGGUGCUCACGGCUCCCCGCCUGCGCUGUCGAUGUAAGUUCCUGCCAUCGCCUCCAAUCCUCAGCCCCGUCUUCAAGUGGAAAACACCAGCUUGGACGAAGGGCCGCCUGGCGGUGCAGGGUUAGCCCCAGGGGUGGCCUGCUUCCCGCACUUCCCGCCCCUGCAUUUAAGACGGGCAAGGUUGCGGCGAGGCGCUCCCUGUGGGUUAGCCCGGUGCCCGGGCUGCACGUGUUCCUGGAGGGGUCACUUGUUCUUAGGUUCACAACAGUGGUGUCGACUCAGGAGAUGCGAGGAAAUUGUACUGUCCAUAGAAGUUGCAAACUAAGACCGAUGCCACCAGCGGGGGGCUCAGCGAUUAUUAAAAAGUGUCCAGGGAGGAUUUUCGCCACACUCACUGUUCCCACGGCGUUUGUGGUGCGGGCGCUGGACGGUUCCAGAGACAGACCGUCUGUAUUUAUUCUUCUCAUCUUGUAAGCGGCCCAGCUUCUCUUAAGUGUUGGUCCAAGCUGAUUUACGGGGCUCCCCCGGGAUUGUGGAUUCUUACCAACCAAGUCUUUGCAUGGAACUGUCAGCUAAGGGGACUCUUGCCUUCCUGACAGCGGUGACUUCCAGGCGGCACAGCAGGAAGGCUCUGCAGACAGCUCGGCUGGGAGGAGCGAACGAAGGGCCGAAGGGCCAUGACAGUGACUGCUGACAGCGUCCCCACCCCCGCUAACUGGGCGCUUUCCUCCUUCUCAGUGCAAGGACUUUUCCGGUGGCGUGUUCUCCUCUAGGGACCUUCUGCCCAGAAAGAUCUAAGGUUAGGCUCCAAAGGUUGAGGUCUAAAAGUUUUUGCUGAGAUUUGUAUCUAUUUUUAGGUGCCAUUUUAAUACCAUUCAGGAAAAUGGUCGUGGACCCUCAGCCCGUGAAACACACGGGAGAGACAGCAAAGGACUCAGAACACAGGAGGCCCGUCCUACUUCUGUGGAAACUACGGGACAAACUGAAAUGUGAUAGUGGAAGUUCGGCAAGGAAAAGACUAAGACAACGCGUCUCCACACUUUCACUUAAAGAAUUAUGUAACGCUCUGCACGAUGCUGUGUCUGUGGAACGCGGCAGGUCCUUAACCUUAUCUCAGCAGAGCGGGCUGCUGCGGGUGGGGCUGCUUGUUAGGGCAGAGAGUGAGAAGCCGCCGCCCAGGGCUCGUUUCCAGACGCCCUUUCCCGGCUCGAGGCACCCGGACUCCUCAGAUCUAGAGGGGGGCUCUCGACAGACCAUCUGCUUCUCAGAAUUUCAGUCUGAGAUAAGAGAAGUGUAACCGUUUACUUCCACCCCCCUGAGAAAGGGGGGCCAUGUACCGUGGUCCAGGGGGAACACAUGCGGUCACAUCCUUCUGGAAUCCUUUGCCACAUAGAAGACCACACUGCAUCCACGUCAACGUCAUCUCUUGGCUAUGGCAACUGGUAAACAUCAAGGACCUCAGGCCCCGCGGCUGUUAAAUGCAUUACAUGAAAAAAAUCGAAGAAACAGCAAUUUUUUACAUCACAAAUAGCAAAUUAAGACCUGGGUCAGGUAUUUUUCAUCUAAAAUGUGUUUGCUAGUUUGGGUGGAAUGUGAAAAGCUUCCAUGUUUUUCCCCCGCUGAAGGUAAUACACCAGCCUCCUCCUCUCUUGCCCUUCUCUCCCCCCCCCACCCCCGCUGUCACCCUCAGCACCUAAAAUUCAUUAAGUGAUGAACAUUACAGCGUCAUGCCAGCCGGAGCGCAGACAAGCUCCCCAGGUGAGCCCUGGCUCCCCCGACAAGGGGUGGGGGCCGCUGAGUCUCCAGGCCCUGAACACAAGUGAGUGGCUCAUCUUUUCAAGGUCAAAUCAUUCACUUUGGGCAAAUGUCUUCUCUUUUUAAAGGCACAGGCGGUCUGGUCCUUUUUUCAGGCCUAAAAAAAAAUGUACCUCACACGAGAUGGAUACCACUCAGUGCAGUUUUCGGUAAAAUUACAGUAUUCGGGUUUGAGUAUCACUAUUUUUUCUACACUGUAUGGUAAAAAAAGAACUAUGUUAAUAGCUAUAUCUUAAAUACUGUGAUUUGAGGGUUUUUUUAAAAAAUCCUAAUGUAAAUAUUUUACUCACAAUCACGCAUCUAAUAGCAAACAUUGGGAUUCUUCUGCAAUCAGUGUUAAUUGACGUAUACUCGUAUACUCUCACUAGCCUGGCUCUCGGACGUGUUGGAAACACACAGGAAGCUGAAAUAUCACAACUGAAAUACAACCGCACGCACGCACGCACACACAUCAGAGCUCUCCUUCUCUCCUGAGCCAUGUGGAAUUCACUUCCCUGUAAACCUGUUCCCUUCCUCAUGCUUCCUCACACACGAAUGAGUCUGUUCUAUCAUUUCUACCAGCAAGGCUGCCUCUGACCCAGGUCAGAAGUCACCGAUUUCACACAGGAGGAUCCCGCUGGAGACCAUGAACUAUUCCUGUGUAGUAAGUAGCUGUCUGUUCUUCAGGGAAUUACUACCUGUGGGUUGUUACCAAAGAACUUUGCAAUUUGAAAGAUGCUGAUGGCAGUGACUGGCAACGGCUGGGUCUCUGCCAGCCUCCAGAGCCCAACCCGGGGUAUAAAGCGGAAGCCACAGAGCCCGUGAGCCUCCCACACGAUGUUUUCCAUACCUUGGCAGAUUUCUUCCUGAUGGGGAUCUGUACCGCCCCCGGGACCCACAGGGCCGUCACAUCCAAACCCAGGGGGAGCCUUUGCCAGACGCACGGCAGAGUGGUGCGGGUUCCCAAAGCCAGGGCUGAGCUGGAGUCCUUGGCGUGUGUUUAUCGUUACUGUUCUUGGGUGCCUUAUACUCUCAAAGUAUUUAGGGGCUGACAGACCCUUUGUGUUUUAUACUAAACAGGAGCGAUUCCAAAGCAGAUCUUUUCUGAGCAGGCUCUGACGCCCUCUCUCCAGCCCAGACCCUCUGGGUGUGAUUGGCGGGGAAUCCGGGGCCGCAGGAAGCCGGGGUGUGCAGAGGAGAGCAAAUGGAAUCUUAGUCACUUUACUGGCAGUGGUUCCAGAAAAUUAGAAAAUGGCUAUAAAAUAACUUUAAUUUUUGUUUAAUUUUGGGUCUUACUCAUUUUCCCUUUAGGAGAUUGAACUGAUCGUAUAUAUUGAUUUCUAUCCUGAAUUUACGGGAACUUAUAUGUUUGGAAUGUCCUACUGUAAGACUGAUGAAUGUAAAGAGUUAAUUUCAGGGUACAGUUUUGCCUUAAUGGUUUUAAAAAAUAAACUAUUUUUAAAAAUUA